Haliotis rubra (blacklip abalone) is the source of this 769-nucleotide long non-coding RNA. RefSeq lists it as uncharacterized. NCBI's taxonomy places the organism in Eukaryota, Metazoa, Mollusca, Gastropoda, Lepetellida, Haliotidae. The transcript has 3 exons. The record is from RefSeq and is a predicted model, not a curated record.
UAUUAAUGAUGGAAACAAAUUCGGUACGGUUUAGAAAGAAUAUCCACAAAUAUAGAAUAGAAUUAUGGUUUUCUUACUUCUCGCCUAAUUUCCCAAGAUCAUUACAUGAAGGCAAAGUAACAUUUUUACUUGGACCAGAAAGUACGUAUGAGAAAUUAAAUAUAGAGAAAAUACGUUUUUUCAAAAUUUUAUUCUCACGUUUACAACUAGCCUUGCUCCAAGGCUGUACUGAAUACAAGCCAAUGGAUGUAUAGUAAUUCUAUCCUUUAAAGAUGCACGUCUCGAUCGGCGGACAGUACAUCUAAGGACACAGAUCUGAUAUAUAUAUUUCUUUUAGAAAGUUUAAUUCAAACUAUUAAUUAUUAACAUAGAAACUUGUGCAAGUCUAAUCAACUACAUAAAUUAUGUUUUGAACUAAAACUAAGGUAUUUACAAAUAUUCAUUUACACUUCUGUUUGUGCACCGAGGCAGACCCUGAUUUGUAUGUUAAUUCUUUCAAGGCCAUGUAUACGGAAUUGAAGGAUACAUUCAGAUCAAUCAGUAGUUAAAGUUACAGUUCUUCCUCAAAACUGGGCGUAUUAGACAGGCGAUGAACUGUCAUUAGACAACAUUAUCUGAGUCAGACGAUAACUCCAAACAGUAUCUAUGACCAUAGGCUUUAAACCAGAAGGUGCACAGGAUAACAGGAGAAAGGCAGCCUUGAAUAUGAACAGCCCGGUGAUUGUGUCUAUGCACAAUACGAUGUGCAUUACGAUGACCCAUAAUCUCG